This 468-nucleotide ribosomal RNA is filed under the name uncultured bacterium. Its description in RNAcentral is "partial 16S ribosomal RNA". It matches the Rfam family "Bacterial small subunit ribosomal RNA", at positions 28 to 507 of the family's 1533-position model. The record is from RNAcentral.
GACGAACGCUGGCGGCGUGCUUAACACAUGCAAGUCGAACGUAAAGGCCCUGCUUUUGUGGGGUGCUCGAGUGGCGAACGGGUGAGUAACACGUGAGUAACCUGCCCUUGACUUUGGGAUAACUUCAGGAAACUGGGGCUAAUACCGGAUAGGAGCUCCUGCUGCAGGGUGGGGGUUGGAAAGUUUCGGCGGUUGGGGAUGGACUCGCGGCUGAUCAGCUUGUUGGUGGGGGAGUGGCAUACCAAGGCUUUGACGGGUAGCCGGCCUGAGAGGGUGACCGGCCACAUUGGGACUGAGAGAGGGCCCAGAGUGGAACGGGAGGCAGUGGUGGGGAAUAUGACACAGUGAGAGGGAGCCUGAUGCAGCAACGCCGCGUGCGGGAAGCCGGCCUGCGGGUUGUGAACCGCUUUAGCCUGAGACGAAGCGUGAGUGACGGUAACGGGUAAAGAAGCACCGGCUAACUACGUG